This 301-nucleotide ribosomal RNA is filed under the name uncultured bacterium. RNAcentral describes it as "partial 16S ribosomal RNA". It matches the Rfam family "Bacterial small subunit ribosomal RNA", at positions 509 to 809 of the family's 1533-position model. The record is from RNAcentral.
CAGUCGCCACGGUAAUACGAAGGGUGCAAGCGUUAAUCGGAAUUACUGGGCGUAAAGCGUGCGUAGGCGGUUUGUUAAGUCUGCUGUGAAAUCCCCGGGCUCAACCUGGGAAUGGCAGUGGAUACUGGCAAGCUAGAGUGUGUCAGAGGAUGGUGGAAUUCCCGGUGUAGCGGUGAAAUGCGUAGAGAUCGGGAGGAACAUCAGUGGCGAAGGCGGCCAUCUGGGACAACACUGACGCUGAGGCACGAAAGCGUGGGGAGCAAACAGGAUUAGAUACCCCCGUAGUCCCUGUCUCUUAUAA